Molecule: long non-coding RNA, 221 nt
Filed under: Elaeis guineensis (African oil palm)
Lineage: Eukaryota; Viridiplantae; Streptophyta; Magnoliopsida; Arecales; Arecaceae
Description: long non-coding RNA (EGUI_LNC059079)
Source: RNAcentral
UCUAAUUAAAUCAUAUUUAAAUAGACUUAAUCUCAAUCCAUUGAAUUAAUCAAAUUAAGCCAAUUAGCAAUCAAAUUACUAAUCGAUCCUCCUGCAACACAUGCACUAGGUUAAAUGUCAAUCAUAUUGGUCGUUAAACCCUAGAACGAUUCUUAAUCGUUGAUCAACCAUCCAAUCGGAUCGUGAAAUCUAAUAUGUGUAACCUCAUAGGUUUGAACCUA